GAUUCACAAACAGUGUCUAGAACACAUGGUGGCCUCCCAGUGUUAACAAGAAAUGUCUGAAUCGCUUGUAAACAUCGUCAAAUAAUGUGAAGAUUUGUCAUUUUGAUUGCUGGUUCUUAAGACUGUGGUUAAAAUAAUCUUGUUGACUAUGGACCUGCUAGAUUGGAAGUCUCCACGGGUUAGGUGGCUCUCCAGAGAGGUGCCUGCCAAACAGUGAUGUGAGUCUGUCUACAUCAUAAAGCAGCAGUAUCUAGAACAUGAGAUUUCUAGACCUCUAUAGCAGCAGAAGUGAGCUAGAGGGCUCUCUGGGGACUUUGCACUGCUUCUGCCCAGAGACAGACCUUCCACAGCAGCUGCAGUUGAAGAGCAGAAUUAAACAGGCACACAGAAGAGACUAUUCUAGGACCUGCCUCUCACCAACUUGCAGUAUGACUCCAAAAUACGAAGCUCACGGAUCUAUCCUAGACCCUAGAAAAGACUACUGUGCACUGGCACAUAGACACUUUGACUGCAACGCUGGAUAG
Molecule: long non-coding RNA, 524 nt
Filed under: Pan troglodytes (chimpanzee)
Lineage: Eukaryota; Metazoa; Chordata; Mammalia; Primates; Hominidae
Description: lncRNA (ENSPTRG00000054155.1)
Source: RNAcentral